RNAcentral lists this unclassified non-coding RNA (318 nucleotides) under Hevea brasiliensis (rubber tree). The record is from RNAcentral. Lineage: Eukaryota; Viridiplantae; Streptophyta; Magnoliopsida; Malpighiales; Euphorbiaceae.
GUGGGAUUCCCAGGAUUUAUUACCACCAGUGCCCUAACAUUUAUACCCUUGGACUUGGCAGCCUCCAGUUGCUUCUUAAGCUCGGAAGUUUCCAGUCCCCACCCUGCUGCUUCAUCAAGAUAGUAUGGGACCAGAGUGCCACCAUGGAGAGCUAUUGAAGCAGAGUACAAAGGAUAUUGAGGGAUUGGACAAAGAAUUCCAUCCCCUUCCGAUCUUAUAAGCAAUUGCAUCAUCAUAUGGACCGCAGGGCUUGCACCAUCUGUUAAGAAAAUAUCAUUUGGAUCAGCAGGAUAUCCAUCACGAGCUUCAAUUCCAGCA